Camelus dromedarius (Arabian camel) is the source of this 412-nucleotide long non-coding RNA. RefSeq lists it as uncharacterized. NCBI's taxonomy places the organism in Eukaryota, Metazoa, Chordata, Mammalia, Artiodactyla, Camelidae. The transcript has 3 exons. The record is from RefSeq and is a predicted model, not a curated record.
UGAAGGAGAGACCUUUGAGUCCCAGACAAGGUGGGCUCUGAGCUGGACCAUGAAGGGAAGAGUCAGAGGAGAAGCUGUUCUGGGAUGCCCAGACGCGCGUCAGUCCCUCCAGCUGGGAGCAGUGCCUGGAGACUCUCUUCUCAAAGCCUCGGUUCCAGCUACUUGCAGGGCCCCACAACCGUUCCCCUGCUGGGGACCUCUGGAAAGGUCUUACCUGGACGAAAAUGAGGAUGAAACUAACACCCUACAUCAGGGUUCUCGAUAAGUGAUACUGUCUUUCUAAUCCCAGUUGUUCCUGACCCUGGCCCCAUGCAGACCAGAGACCUCCCUCCCGUGUCUGCCCUUGUGGACAGCUCCUCACCCACCCUCUCCAGGUCUUGUGAGAAAAAUAGAACAAAAAAUCAAAUAAAUA